GCUGGGUGUGGCGGCAUGUGCCUGUGGUCCCAGCUACUUGGGAGGCUGAGGCAGGAGGAUCACUUGAGCCCAGGAGUUCAAGGCUGCAGUGAGCUAAGAUCAUACCACUGCACUCCAGCCUGGGUAACAGAGUGAGAUCCUGUCUCAA
This 148-nucleotide signal recognition particle RNA is filed under the name Gorilla gorilla gorilla (western lowland gorilla). RNAcentral describes it as "Metazoan signal recognition particle RNA". It matches the Rfam family "Metazoan signal recognition particle RNA". Rfam says of the family: The signal recognition particle (SRP) is a universally conserved ribonucleoprotein. It is involved in the co-translational targeting of proteins to membranes. Lineage: Eukaryota; Metazoa; Chordata; Mammalia; Primates; Hominidae. The record is from Rfam by way of RNAcentral.